This is a long non-coding RNA of Haliotis rubra (blacklip abalone), 265 nucleotides long. RefSeq lists it as uncharacterized. NCBI's taxonomy places the organism in Eukaryota, Metazoa, Mollusca, Gastropoda, Lepetellida, Haliotidae. The transcript is spliced from 3 exons. The record is from RefSeq and is a predicted model, not a curated record.
CUGUUAGCUUUUCCCAGAGGGCGCUCACAUUCUUCGAGCAGACGACGCGACAUGAUCACAAGCUUGGCCACCGGAGUACAGGUUUCCUCGAAUAUAUAGCGGUGAUGUUUACAGCUUGUGGCAGCAUAUUCCCGUGAAGUACAGAACAUGAAGGAGUGGUGACAGCUGAUGUACCCAUACAAAAGAGGCCAAGGCACAAGCACAGACCUUGUAUACAGAUGAAGAUCUCCUGUGAUUAUUUCUUUCUCCUCCUCAUCUGAUAACU